This 223-nucleotide long non-coding RNA is filed under the name Pongo abelii (Sumatran orangutan). RNAcentral's name for it is "lincRNA". The record is from RNAcentral. Lineage: Eukaryota; Metazoa; Chordata; Mammalia; Primates; Hominidae.
UAGAAAUGUGCUACAACCACUCGAGGUCUGCAAUCAGAUUCCUAUUUAGAUGUUGUUGAGAGGUAAGUACAACUAGUUCUCAUUAAUAUUUCAUGUCCUAUGUGCCAUACUUACACUGCCAUUUUGUAGUCAUUUGUCCUACAUCUAAAGAUUAAUUUAUAAUCAGAUAUGUGUAAUCUGAUAUGUGCAUUAAACUUGAUUAUACCUGACUGUGUCUUCACAA